This is a long non-coding RNA of Fopius arisanus, 907 nucleotides long. RefSeq lists it as uncharacterized. The transcript has 3 exons. The record is from RefSeq and is a predicted model, not a curated record. Lineage: Eukaryota; Metazoa; Arthropoda; Insecta; Hymenoptera; Braconidae.
UUAAGGUUAAAUUAAAUUUAUAUUGUAUUAAUACCAAGAGGUGAUGGAUAGAAAAUACUGUUUUUAGAACUUGUGAGCGAUUUUUCAGCGGCCAGUGCUCACAAUUCGCUCAGAACCGUUUUUAGAGUUGUCAUAGUGGGUAAAAAUGAUUAAAAAAAUAUUACAGCUACCGGAGACUUCAAACAAAAGUCACAAUUUCGUAGAAUUUUUCGACCCCCUUCUUCCAGCCAUUCAUUUCCAAAGAAAUCUGACAUUCUGAUUUUACCCAUGUUUACGCUGUCCCCUUUUACACUCGGCAAGUGGUGCAUACAUACCAUUACCUCUGAUAAAGCCUCCCGUUGAACCAAAAAGGGAUAGAAAAUUACAUGCGCCGGGAAGGAGAAAACUGAAGAGGAUUUUGAUUGGAGAGGGAGGGAUAACCAACUCCGAAAAGCUGAAUCUCGUGAAUUGUACCAAAGGUCACUUAUUCAUCGUUUCCACCACUCCCAUCUACCUCGAGUCAUUCAAUUCAACAUCUCUCGGGAAAAUGCGGAGAUUCAAGAGUAAAUUGAAUUAAUGAAGAAAAGUUGGAUGAACAAAAUAAAUUAAUAAGAAAACGAAAAUGUAGUCAAAUGGUUCUGACUGAAUAACACCGAAGAGAGUGAAUGGAGGACAAUGCGGAGAGUAUUUUUCCCUCGCCAAAAAAAGCUGACCGAAUCCAAGACACAAAAGAAUUGAGAGAUGAUGUAGCACGAGGGGUGAACACUUCAUCCGCAAUUCCGGAAUCAGUCUGACAUUGCUCCAGUCGAUGAGCCAGAUGCGACGCAUUCAAUAAUUCAUGAGCACUUACGGCGAAACGAAAAUGAUCCUUCAACCGACAAUUCCGAACUGUACGUCUCAGUAAAAUGAAAUUUCGCUUUAAACUUUA